AGUGAACGCUGGCGGUAGGCCUAACACAUGCAAGUCGAACGGCAGCACAGUAAGAGCUUGCUCUUACGGGUGGCGAGUGGCGGACGGGUGAGGAAUACAUCGGAUUCUUCUUUUUCGUGGGGGAUUACGUAGGGCAACUUACGCUACUACCUCAUACGUCCUACGGCUUAAAUCAGGGGUUAUUCGGACUUUUCGCGUUUGAUAUAGACGAUGUCGGAUUAGAUAGUUGGCUGGGUAAAGGCCCACCAAGGCAACGAUCCGUAGCUGAUCUGAGAGGAUGAUCGGCCACACUGGAACUGAGACACGGUCCAGACUCCUACGGGAGGCAGCAGUAGGGAAUAUUGGACAAUGGGCGCAAGCCUGAUCCAGCCAUACCGCGUGAGUGAAGAAGGCCUUCGGGUUGUAAAGCCCUGUUGUUGGGAAAGAAAAGCAGCAUGUGAAAACCCCGCUGUUCUGACGGUACCCAAAGAGAAAGCACCGGCUAACUUCGUG
This 492-nucleotide ribosomal RNA is filed under the name uncultured bacterium. Its description in RNAcentral is "partial 16S ribosomal RNA". It matches the Rfam family "Bacterial small subunit ribosomal RNA", at positions 29 to 507 of the family's 1533-position model. The record is from RNAcentral.